This is a non-coding RNA of Pygocentrus nattereri (red-bellied piranha), 1713 nucleotides long. NCBI's taxonomy places the organism in Eukaryota, Metazoa, Chordata, Actinopteri, Characiformes, Serrasalmidae. The record is from the annotation of a RefSeq genome assembly.
AAUCUGAGGUUGAAAUAAUAAUAAACUGCACAAUUUAUUCCUUUUGAUAAGCAUGAAAAGAUGGGUCCCACAAUCCACAACACCACACAAGGGUUUAGUAUUAAGCUCAAAUUAGUGUCAUAAUAAUAUGAUGUACAAAUUGUAUUAAAUGACAAUCUUUAAAUCAGGUUACAAAGUCUUUCUAUUUUAUUGCAGAGCAGCACAAAAUGGUGAAGGUUCUGACAUCAGUUUUGUUUUCUGCAUUCAGGAAGAUGAUUUUCAUGCUGAAGACACUUUGCAUUAGCAGCUCAUACUUCAGUGCUCUGGGAGAGUUUAUAGCUCUGUCAGUUUAACACUUCAUGACUGAGAGCUGAUCUGAAUAACAACGGAAAACUUGUCCACAUAAUCUCAGAGCAAGUAUGAUUCUGAUAACUGUCUUCAUCUGGACACUCUUGGGAAUCCAAGGGGGUUUUGGAGAAAUCAUUCUCACUCAGUCUGGGUCUAAGUCAGUUCAGCUCAGUCAGACAGUCACCAUUGACUGCAAAUCCAGCUCUGAAGUUUACAGAUAUCCAGGAGGUUCUGUAUCUAAAGAUUACUACAUAUCCUGGUAUCUUCAGAAAGUUGGAGAAGCUCCUAAACUCCUGAUAUAUUACACCACAAUGAGACCUUCUGGAGUUUCCUCUAAAUUCACAGGUGAAGGCAGUUAUUCAGCUGGAGGGAAUGGUCUGGACUUCUCUCUGACCAUCACUGGAGUCCAGGCUGAAGAUGCUGGAGAUUAUUACUGUUUGAGCACACAUGAGAUCAGUGGUAGCUAUGUGUUCACACAGUGAAAAAGCAUCAUACAAAAACCUCCCUCAGUCACGCUGAACUGCUGCAGCUGCCGCAUACUGCUCGCAGAGUUCACGUUCUGUCAGUCUGACUAAAAGAUUAGGAGAAAAUGCUGAUAUGAACAAUGCGACUAAAUGUUUUAAUGAAUUUUCCAGUAAGAUAAAGGAGCAAAGGAAGAAAGCCUUUUUUGUGAUUUUUACAUAUAUAUUCCAUCAAUAAGAUGAGAUGCAAUCACAGGUAAGACUACUACCUAUCAAUAAUGUUAACAGCAUGUAUAAAUAAGUGGCAAUGUUAUGCAGAGGCAACAUAGUAAAGUGUUGAAGACUAAAAAGAGCUGAAGACCAAAUAAACCAUUAGGAUAAUGAGAACUUCUACUAGUGCUCCUAUAGGGUUCUAGUUUUAACAACAACAAUUCACAAUAACAUAUUUUAGAUUAAAGAGAUUUUUAAGCUUCUACAAAUUAUUUCAUGUGUUACUAUAUAUUUUACCUUAGAGCAGUUUCACAGUGAGUCUUUCAGAAGAAGAGCUGCCACCUCUGUUUUCUAUUUCUAUUAACUCAUUGAUUAGUCUGCAGCUUAUACUGACAGUCAUUGACAUAUCUGGUGCUUCGAUAAGGCUUAGAGUGAUGUUUUUUUCUCAUAAGAUUGGUCCAAUAUUUUGGAAAUCAUUGGUUGAAUCAUCGGUCAUUUCAUAAUUAUGCCGGGUCAGCAAGUCAGAUGGAUUCAGUUACUGCAGCUUAAUAUCUGAAAUGAAACUGUAAAACUGUACAGGUGCUCAUUUCAGCAGAAAGAUUUUCACAGAGCACAAUAUGAUAACAAAUGUACCAUUAAAAGUUUUGAAUUGUCAUUCAAAAGAUUGGAAUCACGGGGCGGCACGGUGGCACGGUGGGUGGCGCUGUCGCCUCAC